UUUUAUGAAUGCAUAUUUUGCAAACAUUGUACUAUGUUUAAAACUCAUUGACCCAAAUUAGGUAACCUGUAUUAAUAUUUUGGGGAUUUUUAUGAAUUUAUGAAUGAACAAUAUUCAAAUCUUAGAAAAGUAUAAAGUUAUAGUCCAUUUCUUUGGGGACAACACAGAGUUAUCGCCUUAAACCUACAAUGCAUCAGUUCAUAUGGACUGUCUGUUACUGUACUGUAAUUUGCAUUAGUAAAAUAUUUUUUCCUUAGUGGAUUUGGCACCGGCUCCAGCCCAGAGGCCCUCAUCCUUGUAAAUCCGGCCCUGCUGGUGACGCAUCCACAUGGUUUCGUUCUCAGACUUUCUUCCGCUUGAAAACUUUUGAAGAACACCUUCCGAAACGUUUCACAAUUCAACAGGCGUAAAACCAGGAGGGAGAAAAAGCUGCAUUGAGCUGCAGUUAACAGCAUUUCCAUCUGUUGUAAAUGACUGCUGUUAAAACGGACUUUUUAAGGAGACGUUUGAAAGAAGACCAGAGGAAAUAAACAGCGGAGCCACGCUCAUCGCUCAGCCUCGGUGUCGUGAAGUUCCCUAAAGGCAUGUUAUUCACCUCCAGAUCAAGAGCUUGAUAAGACACAAAGCAUCUGCUCAGAUAUCAGAUGUGGCUACCUGGAGCGGAGGAGAGUCUGAAAUUAAUCCCAUUUCUCCACAGAGAGACGGGGAUAGCCUUUUUAUUUAUUUAUUUAUUUAUUUUUUAAAUAACUAAAGGAUAAAACUAGAAUAAGUCUGAAACUUCCCUCUUGACUCCAGCAGGUGGGCCUGCAGUGGACGUCAUAUACGUGUUUUUACUGUAAAAAUACUAAAAUGAAGGGAGAAAAGAUCUAAUUUUAACUCCGGUGGAACGUUUCCACUCUAAACGGAGUCCCGUUUUCGCUCUGCUUCGUCCAGCUACUCAAGCUGUGUAAACUUCAGUAAUUAUUACCGGGAACAGUGAAAUAUGAGACGGUAAACAAAACGGGGAAAACCAGAAAGCGUGCUGCCAGUAUUUUGUGGCUGCCGAGAAGUGAAGGGAGAAAAAAA
Molecule: long non-coding RNA, 1065 nt
Organism: Poecilia latipinna (sailfin molly)
Lineage: Eukaryota; Metazoa; Chordata; Actinopteri; Cyprinodontiformes; Poeciliidae
Exons: 2
Source: RefSeq, a predicted model, not a curated record